Macrobrachium nipponense is the source of this 319-nucleotide long non-coding RNA. RefSeq lists it as uncharacterized. The record is from RefSeq and is a predicted model, not a curated record. NCBI's taxonomy places the organism in Eukaryota, Metazoa, Arthropoda, Malacostraca, Decapoda, Palaemonidae. The transcript has 4 exons.
CAGAUGUAGAUGUUCCCUCAUCAGUUGAUACAAGUAUCACCUCCCCAGAGCCCAAAUCAGUUGAUACGAGUAGUAUCACCUCUCCCAUUCCUUCAGACUCCCAAGCACCUGCCCAUCCCACUCCAUAGCCCAGCCACCCACUCUCAUGUACCAUAUGACCAUCCCAGUAAGCAAGCCAACCACUAGAAUUUGACUGGCAUGCACCUGUGACUUACAUAAACCAGACCUCUACAUAGCCUACAUGUCUUCAUUUUGCUGGAGACUGCCCAUCAUCCUAGCCUGUUAUCUGUGAUAAAGCACACUGAAGUUAGGUUUGGAA